RNAcentral lists this long non-coding RNA (711 nucleotides) under Bos taurus (domestic cattle). Its description in RNAcentral is "long non-coding RNA NONBTAT011083". Lineage: Eukaryota; Metazoa; Chordata; Mammalia; Artiodactyla; Bovidae. The record is from RNAcentral.
AACCCAGGGACUGAAAGCAGAUCUCCCACACUGCAGGCGGAUUCUUUAUCAGCUGAGCCACCAGGAUGUCUUUGGCACUAGCCAUGAAGUUAAUGAAUACUGUUGUUAGAACCAUGCUCCAGUAUGGAAUAUUUCCAUGUCAUGGAAGUGCAAGAAUGCCUUAAAGCAUAGCCCCUCAGGAUAUCAAGAAGCUUCCUGCUGAUUGGCUUCCUGAUAAAGAAGUGUCAGAAGAAUUGAAGUGAAUGAGAUUCCUCUCUGAAGCCAAGAUGCUGGCUGAUCAUUGCUUCUCACCUCAAGCAUUUGGUUGAAGUGCCAUGGACUCAAAACUUGCACCCCUCAAUUUGCCUCCUCUGGGUGUUCCACAUAAUGGUUGUGAGCAUGUUUAAGUAAUUUAUCUUCUAGACAGCUGAUAUAUCUAUCCACCCAUCAUUUCAUUUUUAAAACAGGAAUUGUCAUUCCCUCUAGCUAAUGGUAGUUGCAGCUGUUCCCUUUUGGUUACCCCUGGUUAACCCACCUGUGUAACGGGUAGACUGUUAUAAUAGGCACACACGGGCUGGAUUUAGGUAGGCGUGAUUUUGUCAGACAAUGAAACAGAUAUUUCCCUUAUUUUAAGAAGUUUUACAUGGUAGUGAGUCUUUCUCCCCUCUCACCCUCUGUACCACCUCCAACACACCUUAGCCAGUUGUUUUACAUUAAAGCUGAGGUUCAAGG